RNAcentral lists this ribosomal RNA (354 nucleotides) under uncultured bacterium. RNAcentral's name for it is "bacterial SSU rRNA". It matches the Rfam family "Bacterial small subunit ribosomal RNA", at positions 28 to 408 of the family's 1533-position model. The record is from RNAcentral.
GAUGAACGCUGGCGGUAUGCUUUACACAUGCAAGUCGUACGAGAGUUUUUAACUCAAGUGGCGGACGGGUGAGUAACACGUAAGAAUUUGCCUUUAGGAGGGGGACAACAACUGGAAACGGUUGCUAAUACCCCAUAUGCUUUCGAGUGAAACGGUUUUUCCGCCUAAAGAGAAGCUUGCGGCUGAUUAGCUUGUUGGUAAGGUAAUGGCUUACCAAGGCGACGAUCAGUAUCUGGUUUGAGAGGACGAUCAGACACACUGGAACUGAGACACGGUCCAGACUCCUACGGGAGGCAGCAGUGGGGAAUUUUCCGCAAUGGGCGAAAGCCUGACGGAGCAAUACCGCGUGAGGGA